UUGAACGCUGGCGGCAUGCUUUACACAUGCAGGUCGAACGGUAACAGGGAGUUUGCCCCGCUGACGAGUGGCGAACGGGUGAGUAAUGCAUCGGAACGUACCCAGUCGUGGGGGAUAACGUAGCGAAAGUUACGCUAAUACCGCAUACGUCCUGAGGGAGAAAGCGGGGGACCGUCAGGCCUCGCGCGAUUGGAGCGGCCGAUGUCGGAUUAGCUAGUUGGUGGGGUAAAGGCCUACCAAGGCGACGAUCCGUAGCGGGUCUGAGAGGAUGAUCAGCCACACUGGGACUGAGACACGGCCCAGACUCCUACGGGAGGCAGCAGGGGGGAAUUUUGGACAAUGGGGGCAAGCCUGAUCCAGCCAUGCCGCGUGAGUGAAGAGGGCCUUCGGGUUGUAAAGCUCUUUCAGACGGAAAGAAAACGCAUCGGUGAAUACCCGGCGUGGAUGACGGUACUGUAAGAAGAAGCACCGGCUAACUACGU
Molecule: ribosomal RNA, 482 nt
Filed under: uncultured bacterium
Lineage: Bacteria
Description: bacterial SSU rRNA
Rfam family: Bacterial small subunit ribosomal RNA
Source: RNAcentral